CGUGGGUGGCAAGCACGGCUGGGCAGGGAGCGGGAGCAGGGUGCAGCCGGGCGCUCCCGGGAGAGCCUGGCUGCGGGAAGGCCGAGCACCGAAACGCGCCGGCGAAGCCGCGUGCUCGUGGCUGGACUUGGCCGCCCCUCCGCCAGCUGCUGACUCAUCUCUUUCGCGCUUCUCUGUGCAGAGAUUUAAUCUCUCCCCAAAGACAAAAUACUCUGUUAAUGGGAACCUGCCUGCUCGGAGCCACCCCUUCGCUCCGUUCCGAGGAGCCGGGGCCGUGCCGGAGGGAGCCGCAGCCGAGAGCCGCGCGUGGCACCGCUGCGGGCAGGACUGGAGCCGCCCUCGGGGCCGCGCCGUGCCCCGGCCGGUGAGGAACCCYGGUGCCGUCCUCUUGCUCCGAAGGGCUCAGGUGCCCCUGUGUCUUGUGUCGCGCACGAGGACAAGGAUGCGUGGGGGGACGCCAGCAGGACGAGCCGGGAAUGUCAGGCUCCUCUCGCGGUGCUGCGGUCCCGGUGGAUCCCACGGCGCUUCCGGAGCCGGCUUUACGGACUCCGCGUGCGGCAGGAGCGCUUCUUCCUCCUCCGCGGCACGGUGUCCUCUGAGGGAAGAGGCGGCAGCGGUGCAAAGCUGCCGCCGUCGGACCCGCGGGCUUGUGGUGGGAAGCGCGGGAGGAACGAGCAGGCGUCGCAGGAGUCUUGGUCGGAAGAUGCACGGCGAUUGCUCGCGCCRGAGUUUUGGCAAUUGGAGUUAGCCGACGCUAUGCAAGUUUCAAGGCAUUUCUCCAGCUUCCCCUUACUUCCCUUCGGACAUGGGGCACCCGUCUGUGGUGGCCUUGGUUGGCUUUACUUCCCAGCAUCCGAUGGCAGCUCUUCCGCUGCCCGGAAAAGCGGCUGUUGUGGGCGCGGGGGGCUCGGUGUGCCGCCCGGACCCGUGCCGUGGCCGCUGCGAACGGUGCAGGUGCGAACGCUCCCAUGGGCCCUGCAGCCGCCCCGUUUGCUCCAGCYGCCCUCGCCGCGGGGGCGUUUUGGUGCCCUUGCACCCUCCCAGCCGGGCUCGGCCCGCGGGAUGGGGACGGGGACAGGCUCAGCCCCUACCUGCGCCCGCCCUGCACCUGCCGGAGCUGCGGGAACGGAGCUUUUUAUCUUUCYUAGUUAAAAAAAAAAUCCUUCUCAUUUAAUUAAAAGUGUUGACAUUGUGCCUGGCCAUCCCGCCCGCCAGAGAACGUGGUUAUAAAUUAAACAUUAAACCUUUAAUGGCCCAUAAAGAAAUAUUCGCUGCUGCUUAUGUAUAUAGGGGAUAUAAAUAGAGAGGGCUGCUGGGGGAGGGGCAGGAUAUUAUUUUUCCUCAGCCAGAUAAUCUUUGCUAAUGAAUUUAAUUAAAAGCAAAAUUAAUUUAGGAUUUUUUGGUGGA
Molecule: long non-coding RNA, 1407 nt
Filed under: Apteryx haastii (Great spotted kiwi)
Lineage: Eukaryota; Metazoa; Chordata; Aves; Apterygiformes; Apterygidae
Description: lncRNA (ENSAHAG00000016979.1)
Source: RNAcentral